Schistosoma rodhaini is the source of this 46-nucleotide non-coding RNA. The record is from Rfam. NCBI's taxonomy places the organism in Eukaryota, Metazoa, Platyhelminthes, Trematoda, Strigeidida, Schistosomatidae.
GCACUGUUGAGGAGUCCCACAAUAGGACGUAACGGUCUUCCAGUGC